CGCUGGCAGACCGGUUCGUCUGCUUUCUCCCAAGACUUGAGCCGCUGCCGGAGAAAUCCGGCAGCGGUUUUUUUGGAGCUUC
This 82-nucleotide unclassified non-coding RNA is filed under the name Bradyrhizobium sp. Rc2d. RNAcentral describes it as "suhB". Lineage: Bacteria; Pseudomonadati; Pseudomonadota; Alphaproteobacteria; Hyphomicrobiales; Nitrobacteraceae. The record is from RNAcentral.